RNAcentral lists this transfer RNA (72 nucleotides) under Bos taurus (domestic cattle). It matches the Rfam family "tRNA". Rfam says of the family: Transfer RNA (tRNA) molecules are approximately 80 nucleotides in length. The record is from Rfam by way of RNAcentral. Lineage: Eukaryota; Metazoa; Chordata; Mammalia; Artiodactyla; Bovidae. RNAcentral also lists the same sequence under 4 other names.
UCUCUAGUGGCUCAGAUGGUAAAGCAUCUGCCUGCAAUGCGGGACACCUGGGUUCGAUCCCUGGCUCAGGAA